GACGAACGCUGGCGGCGUGCCUAACACAUGCAAGUCGAGCGAGAGGCCUAUAACAGAUUCCUUCGGGAUGACGACUUAGGUCUUCUAGCGGCGGAUGGGUGAGUAACGCGUGAGAAACCUGCCUUUUACAAGGGAAUAGCCACGAGAAAUCGUGAAUAAUACCCUAUGAUACUUAAAAACAUAGUAGUUUUUUGGUUAAAGCGUAAAGCGGUAAAAGAUGGUCUCGCGUCCCAUUAGCUAGUUGGUGAGAUAAAAGCUCACCAAGGCUACGAUGGGUAGCCGGCCUGAGAGGGCGACCGGCCACACUGGAACUGAGACACGGUCCAGACUCCUACGGGAGGCAGCAGUGGGGAAUCUUGCACAAUGGAGGAAACUCUGAUGCAGCGACGCCGCGUGAAUGAUGAAGUUUUCGGAUCGUAAAAUUCUGUCCUUGGGGAAGAUAAUGACGGUACCUAAGGAGGAGCCCCGGCUAACUACGUGCCAGCCGCCGCGGUAAGACCUGAGACUACC
This 510-nucleotide ribosomal RNA is filed under the name uncultured Tissierella sp. RNAcentral describes it as "bacterial SSU rRNA". It matches the Rfam family "Bacterial small subunit ribosomal RNA", at positions 28 to 539 of the family's 1533-position model. The record is from RNAcentral. Lineage: Bacteria; Bacillati; Bacillota; Tissierellia; Tissierellales; Tissierellaceae.